UACGAAGGGGGCUAGCGUUGUUCGGAAUCACUGGGCGUAAAGGGCGCGUAGGCGGCCGAUUAAGUUGGGGGUGAAAGCCUGUGGCUCAACCACAGAAUUGCCUUCGAUACUGAUUGGCUUGAGACCGGAAGAGGUAAGUGGAACUGCGAGUGUAGAGGUGAAAUUCGUAGAUAUUCGCAAGAACACCAGUGGCGAAGGCGGCUUACUGGUCCGGUUCUGACGCUGAGGCGCGAAAGCGUGGGGAGCAAACAGG
Molecule: ribosomal RNA, 253 nt
Filed under: uncultured bacterium
Lineage: Bacteria
Description: partial 16S ribosomal RNA
Rfam family: Bacterial small subunit ribosomal RNA
Source: RNAcentral